UGGUGUAUUUACUGUCUUCUGAUUGGUUAAAAUUAUUAGUUUUAUUUUCAAUGUUGUCAAUUUUGAUGGCGACAGGCCCACUCUGACGUUGAGUAUUCAUACGCCAACAUGCGCUAAUUUUGUUAAUACAAAUUAUAUAAAAAGUUCUUUGAGCCAUAUAUAUUUUUGAUAGAAAUUUAUUUAUAAUGAAUGGCAAUAAUUUAUUUUGAUUUUAUUGAAU
This 220-nucleotide long non-coding RNA is filed under the name Mytilus galloprovincialis (Mediterranean mussel). Lineage: Eukaryota; Metazoa; Mollusca; Bivalvia; Mytilida; Mytilidae. The record is from RNAcentral.